This 1252-nucleotide ribosomal RNA is filed under the name metagenome. RNAcentral's name for it is "bacterial SSU rRNA". It matches the Rfam family "Bacterial small subunit ribosomal RNA", at positions 243 to 1520 of the family's 1533-position model. The record is from RNAcentral.
AGCUAGUUGGUGAGGUAACGGCCCACCAAGGCGACGAUCGGUAGCCGGACUGAGAGGUUGAACGGCCACAUUGGGACUGAGACACGGCCCAGACUCCUACGGGAGGCAGCAGUGGGGAAUAUUGCACAAUGGGGGAAACCCUGAUGCAGCGACGCCGCGUGGAGGAAGAAGGUCUUCGGAUUGUAAACUCCUGUUGUUGAGGAAGAUAAUGACGGUACUCAACAAGGAAGUGACGGCUAACUACGUGCCAGCAGCCGCGGUAAAACGUAGGUCACAAGCGUUGUCCGGAAUUACUGGGUGUAAAGGGAGCGCUGGCGGGCGAUCAAGUUGGAAGUGAAAUCCAUGGGCUCAACCCAUGAACUGCUUUCAAAACUGGUCGUCUUGAGUAGUGCAGAGGUAGGCGGAAUUCCCGGUGUAGCGGUGGAAUGCGUAGAUAUCGGGAGGAACACCAGUGGCGAAGGCGGCCUACUGGGCACCAACUGACGCUGAGGCUCGAAAGUGUGGGUAGCAAACAGGAUUAGAUACCCUGGUAGUCCACACCGUAAACGAUGAUUACUAGGUGUUGGGAGAUUGACCCUCUCAGUGCCGCAGUUAACACAAUAAGUAAUCCACCUGGGGAGUACGACCGCAAGGUUGAAACUCAAAGGAAUUGACGGGGGCCCGCACAAGCAGUGGAGUAUGUGGUUUAAUUCGACGCAACGCGAAGAACCUUACCAAGUCUUGGCAUCCCUUGACGAUGCUGGAAACAGUAUUUCUCUUCGGAGCAAGGAGACAGGUGGUGCAUGGUUGUCGUCAGCUCGUGUCGUGAGAUGUUGGGUUAAGUCCCGCAACGAGCGCAACCCUUAUGGUCAGUUACUACGCAAGAGGACUCUGGCCAGACUGCCGUUGACAAAACGGAGGAAGGUGGGGAUGACGUCAAAUCAUCAUGCCCUUUAUGACUUGGGCUACACACGUACUACAAUGGCGUUAAACAAAGAGAAGCAAGACCGCGAGGUGGAGCAAAACUCAGAAACAACGUCCCAGUUCGGACUGCAGGCUGCAACUCGCCUGCACGAAGUCGGAAUUGCUAGUAAUCGUGGAUCAGCAUGCCACGGUGAAUACGUUCCCGGGCCUUGUACACACCGCCCGUCACACCAUGAGAGCCGGGGGGACCCGAAGUCGGUAGUCUAACCGCAAGGAGGACGCCGCCGAAGGUAAAACUGGUGAUUGGGGUGAAGUCGUAACAAGGUAGCCGUAGGAGAACCUGCGGCUG